RNAcentral lists this small RNA (108 nucleotides) under Mesorhizobium sp. LSHC420B00. RNAcentral's name for it is "Rhizobiales sRNA Atu_At1". It matches the Rfam family "Rhizobiales sRNA Atu_At1". Lineage: Bacteria; Pseudomonadati; Pseudomonadota; Alphaproteobacteria; Hyphomicrobiales; Phyllobacteriaceae. The record is from Rfam by way of RNAcentral.
UCAUGAGCCGUGUUAACCGGACGAGACAGGGAUGACGAAUGCAGAGGUUUUUCCGGUUUCACUCUGCAGCCGACGAAGAGGCAGCCGAGCGUCUUACCUGUCCGGCUC